RNAcentral lists this ribosomal RNA (254 nucleotides) under uncultured bacterium. Its description in RNAcentral is "partial 16S ribosomal RNA". It matches the Rfam family "Bacterial small subunit ribosomal RNA", at positions 524 to 776 of the family's 1533-position model. The record is from RNAcentral.
UACGAGGGGGGCGAGCGUUGUUCGGAAUUAUUGGGCGUAAAGGGUGCGUAGGCGGUUUGGUAAGUCUUGUGUGAAAUCUACAGGCUCAACUUGUAGUCUGCACGAGAAACUGCCGGGCUUGAGUAUGGGAGAGGUGAGUGGAAUUCCUGGUGUAGCGGUGAAAUGCGUAGAUAUCAAGAGGAACACCUGAGGUGAAGACGGGUUGCUGGGCCGACACUGACGCUGAGUGCGCGAAAGCCAGGGGAGCAAACGGG